AACAUCGACCUUACAUGGAACAACAUUCCCGUCUUGCCUCCCCUUGUCUAUCGUUCGUUGAUCGAAAAUACGGAAUGAUUAGCGAAACGAAUCGGCAUCACUGGUAGUUGCUUUUUCUUCAACGGUAAACUGUCAUCUUAUACAAAACAAAUGGAACAUACAACUGAUAGUCUUUGGCAAAUUUAUUUAUCUAUUACAUAUCGUUGCAAGCAGAAGAGAAUCCGCUGCAACUCAUUUCCAGCCUGCGAACACUAUUCGAAAAAUUGAUUCCCCUUCAGCGUCAGCGCCAGAAGAAAAUACGAAAGGUGAAUUUUGGAUUGAUAUUUUUCGGAGAAGGAGCUUGCAAGAAGUUGAUUGGAGACCACAGUUUCGGACUCAACAUGUUUUUCGGCCGUUAGCGAAGCCCGUAGACCAUGACAAACAAGUUGGCAAACACAUGAACUCGUGUGUUACAAUCGGUUCGAAAACAUACCGCCGUCUAGCUAUUCGGUGAAACCGGCUGAGAUUCCUGAUUAUUAUAAUUAUAUCAAAUACCCGAUGGAUUUAAAAACGAUGGGGGAAAGACUGAAAAAUAG
Toxorhynchites rutilus septentrionalis is the source of this 575-nucleotide long non-coding RNA. RefSeq lists it as uncharacterized. The transcript has 3 exons. Lineage: Eukaryota; Metazoa; Arthropoda; Insecta; Diptera; Culicidae. The record is from RefSeq and is a predicted model, not a curated record.